This 493-nucleotide ribosomal RNA is filed under the name uncultured bacterium. Its description in RNAcentral is "bacterial SSU rRNA". It matches the Rfam family "Bacterial small subunit ribosomal RNA", at positions 372 to 883 of the family's 1533-position model. The record is from RNAcentral.
UGGGCGAAAGCCUGAUGCAGCAACGCCGCGUGAGCGAUGAAGGUCUUCGGAUCGUAAAGCUCUGUCCUCAAGGAAGAAUUUUGACGGUACUUGAGGAGGAAGCCCCGGCUAACUACGUGCCAGCAGCCGCGGUAAUACGUAGGGGGCUAGCGUUAUCCGGAAUUAUUGGGCGUAAAGGGUGCGUAGGCGGUCCUACAAGUCAGAGGUGAAAGGCUACGGCUCAACCGUAGUAAGCCUUUGAAACUGUAGGACUUGAGUGCAGGAGAGGAGAGUGGAAUUCCCAGUGUAGCGGUGAAAUGCGUAGAUAUUGGGAGGAACACCAGUUGCGAAGGCGGCUCUCUGGACUGUAACUGACGCUGAGGCACGAAAGCGUGGGGAGCGAACAGGAUUAGAUACCCUGGUAGUCCACGCCGUAAACGAUGAGUACUAGGUGUCGGGGGUUACCCCCUUCGGUGCCGCAGCUAACGCAUUAAGUACUCCGCCUGGGAAGUAC